UGCAACUGACAUAUAGAGCAACUUUAAAAUAAUUGUAUGUUCGAUGUAAAUAACUCAUAUAUUGUUUCCAUUUUGAUGAGAUAAACUCUAUGUUUUCACUCCUUUGUACACAUCCUUUGUAAACGGUACAUCUUGUAGAUUUUUGGUAACGCAAACAAUUUAGCCCCUGUUAAACAUUUAUACAGGAUAACAGAUUCUGAAAUUUAGCAAUAGGAACAGGUUGUUAGAUGCAAUGCUUUUUAGUUUUCAAAGUUUACCAAGUAUUUAAAACAUUUGCUUAAUUAUGUUUUACAUUCUAAAGAAUAAUUGAUAUCUCAAAACGUAAAUCACUAAAUUACAAAUCAAAGGAGAGUUAUGUAAUAUGCUUGCAAUUGCUAAGAAGUGCAGUUGUUGUUUUUUUCUUUUCCGGUUAAAGCAAUGUCAUUUGCUUAAAAAAGUUGUCUCCCUUGUAAGAAAAUUAAUGUGUUCACAUCUCAACAUAACAAGUAAAUUCAUACAGUACAUGUAUUUAAAAUUAUUCACAUGAUAUUCACCAAUAAGUCUAAUGGAAUUUGUAGAAUAAAAUAUAACAUGUUAUUAUGACGAUUAUAAGUGAAUGUUUGGCACAAAAUGCCUCUUAAUCUCUAUAUUUACAACUUCAGCAAAUGUCUAAGACCAGACUUUCCUAAAUGGUGUGGUUGUUGACAUUAAUAUAAAAUUUAGUUCAUGAACCAUAAAUGUUUUGUUGUUGAACAUAUAAAAAAAGCUUUAUGUAUAUUAAUUUUAUGUCAUAUUUCAAACAUAUCAUAUUGAUACGAUUGACAGAAAAUAAACAUUUUGCUUUAAUGUGUAUACAUGAAGUGUAUACAUGAGUAACGAUUGGUACCAUUCAAGCAUGUUAAUAAUGAACUACAGUUGUAGUACUAGAUGCAUUUUUAGCUCAUCUAUUUUUUGGAGAAAAAAAAAAUGAGCUAUUGUCAUCACCUUGGCAUCGGCGUCGGGUUAUGUUUUGUGUUUAGGUCCACUUUUCUCAGAAAGUAUCAAAGCUAUUGCAUUCACACUUGGUACACUUACUUACUAUCAUGAGGGGACAGAACAGGCAAAGUGAGAUAACUCUGGCGUGCAUUUUUACAGAAUUAUGUGCCCUUUUUAUACUUAGAAAAUUUAAAAUUUGGUUAAGUUUUGUGUUUAGGUCUACUUUAUUCCUAAAGUAUCAAAGCUAUUGCUUUCAUACUUGCAACACUUACUAACUAUGUUAAGGGGACUGUGCAGGCAAAGUUGCAUCACUCUAGUUGUCAUUUUGACGGAAUUAUGGCCCUUUUUUGACUUAGUAACUUUGAAUAUAUGGUUAUAUUUUGUGUUUCGAUCCACUUUACUUCCAAAGUAUCAAGCUUUGUAUUGCUUUCAAACUUCAAAUACUUUCAUGCUAUCAUGCGGGUACUGUACCUGGCAAGUUGAAUUUUACCUUGACCUUUGAUUGACUAUCAAGGUCAAAUUAUUAAAUUUUGCUAAAAUUACCAUAACUUCUUUAGUUAUGAUUAGAUUUGAUUGAUACUUUGACAUAAGAACUCUUUCCUGACAUAACAAAAUAGACUCUACCCAAACCAUUCCCAAAGAGCCCCCCCCCCCCUCCAACCCCAGAAUCCAGAAUCCCCCAUCCAAUUUUUUUUGUUUUUCAUUCUUUUUUAAAGAUCAUCUCAUAAAUAAAACCAUCACACUAUACCCUCCACCGCCCCCCCCCCCCAAUUUUUUUUUAUUUGUUAAAAACAAAAAAAAAAAAUAUUUUAUUUUUGAAAUACCGUCCAACCAUCCCACUCAAGAAUACCCCCCCCCCCCCCCAAAAAAAAAAACAACAACAAAUUGUUUGUUUUCUUAUUUUUUGAAGAUAAUGUAAUAAAUGACCACACCCCCACAAUAUACACCCCUCUCCACUCCACCCCUCCCUCCUUUGUGAUUGAAGUAUUGAGAGUCCCUUCACCUUUAAAAGAAAAAUAGAUAGCGGUCUGCACCCGCAAGGCGGUGCUCUUGUUUUGAUCAUGUCUUAAUUUGUUCGUCUACUCCAAAUAAACAUGUUGCAUUUGUAAAUAAAGCGUGUAUAACCUCUAUGUACUGUCCCAAGGUCUGUUUUCAAAUACUUGAGUACCUCAUAUUGAGCAGAGACUUACCAAUUUAUGGCAUUAUUUGUUAUGCACAUGUCUGACUUAUAUAAAUAUCUUCAAAUUCUGAGAUUACUGUUCAGGGUAUUUUAAAGGUAAAAGUUUAAAUAUUUCUAUAGACUGUAACCUGGUGUCUGUUAAGUUAAUUUUAAUACAUUUAUAAUGUCUAGCGUAUUGAAUGUGUAAGUGUCUUUAUUCUCGCCCGCAUGCAUUGUUGCUGUAUGCUUUGACAAAGCUUACUACACAGCUCAUGUGUUUGUUUAUCAUUUAUAACCAGUGGUUUGUCCGCAGAGGUUACAUAAUACUAUACUCACUUAAUAAAUCAACUUCAUUUAUUGAUUUGAUUUUGUAUAUAUUCACUUCUCAUGACUGAAUCUGCUAUAGGCCUUUGAAUAUGUGGUAAGAAAAACAUUUUUUAUUAAAGGUUAGAAACUCUAUUAUCAGAUUUUGACAGAUGGUGGUUAACAUUUAACUGGAGAGUAGCCGGGAAAAAAAUGGCUGUAAAACAGUGAAGUUUGAUCCACUUUUAGUUAUGUCUUAUAUAUCACAUUAUCUAUAUUUUUUGUUAAUUUGGAUCAUAAUGAUCUUUAAAAAAUGGAAUGAUUAUGAGGGUUUCCAAAAUGAUGCAUUUAUUUUAUGUUAAAGUUAUUGCUUUCAAUUUUAAUUUGUUAUGGAAAUAUUUAAGUUUAUGUGACUUACAGAGAUAUACAUGUUUAUGUAAGUGAUGUGCUGUUUGAUGAUUUAAGAAUUGUCUUGCACUCUGAUUAAAGUAGAUCGCCAUUGAUUCAAGUUCGAAUACUGAUGUACAGUUAAAGUGUGUUGUACUUUCAAAUAAAAAUACUAUGUAAA
This is a long non-coding RNA of Dreissena polymorpha, 2984 nucleotides long. RefSeq lists it as uncharacterized. The transcript has 2 exons. The record is from RefSeq and is a predicted model, not a curated record. NCBI's taxonomy places the organism in Eukaryota, Metazoa, Mollusca, Bivalvia, Myida, Dreissenidae.